This 250-nucleotide long non-coding RNA is filed under the name Cyanistes caeruleus (blue tit). Its description in RNAcentral is "lncRNA (ENSCCEG00000007609.1)". Lineage: Eukaryota; Metazoa; Chordata; Aves; Passeriformes; Paridae. The record is from RNAcentral.
UGGCUCCAAUUCCAUGCAAAAGCCUUUUCCUGAGUGCUGGGGAGAGUUGUCCAAGCCACCAGCUCCUGACACCUGCCCAUAGACCCCACUCAGACCUACACGAAGUGCAGCAUCCCCAGGACCUCAAUUAAUGUCAUUGGAACCCACCUGGCAGAAAGCUGUGCUGAUGGGCAGAGAGCAGAAGGCCAAUUCAGCUCUGGAGCCCCAGGCAGUGAAGGCGGUGAGGAAAUGGCCCCAGGAAUUUAGAGGC